AACUACAUCGUUAGCCAGUUCGAGACGACCAGAGGAUCCAGAACCUACGAGUGAUCUCCGACCAUUUUAGGGUAAGCAGCUUUCAUUUUCCGGUGUUUUCUGGUUGCGCUUCAGCUCUGUUACUGUUUUUUAUGCAACUCGUGUUGUGGAUUCUCUGUUACAAGUAUCUUGCUUUCAUUUUCCGGUGUUUCACUUAUUACUGAAGCAGAGAGAGCUUCGUUGAUCGAAUUUCCUGCUACUUGAGGGGUUUCAGUUAGGAUCCGUGAUUGGAUAGAUUGAAGGAAAAUAUCAUCCAUUCUUUUUUCGGUGAGAAAUAUGAGAUCAGAUCGAACGGCUUUGUAUAUGUUGAAUUCUGGUUAGAGGAUCUCGAAGUGAUGUUAGACUGGAGCACCAGUGAGCUUGAAGGCAUUGUUUGGGAUGAGUUUAGUGGGAAUGAUGAUCAUAUAGUACCUCAUCCUGGUGGAGAAGAAGUAGAUGAUUGCCAUAAAAGGCCUCAAUGUGAAGUCUCAUAUCCAUUUACAAGCAAUUCAAAUGGCCAAUAUGCUGCUAAAGAUACCCUACAUAGAAAAGAUGAAACAAGUUUUGCAACUGUGACGGACCAGAAGGCUCCAAUGCUUAAAAAGGAUUCAUGGUCAUGCACUACUGAUGGAGUUUUCCCAGCCUCAUGUGAUCCCGCCUCCAUUAAGGAAUUUCCAGGUUUAACUGCCGAUGAUACUAAGAUAACUGGUAACUGCUUCAGUAGUAACUGCGUAGAUUCUACUGGCAAUGAGUUUUGUGUGGAUGACCCAAUUCUUGGUUAUAAAAGUGCUGCAAUAGGCAGCAGCUUGUGCAACUUUCCACUUGGGGAUAUUUCUUCAACAGGCAGUGACCUUGAAUUUUUUGCAAAUGAGCAUGAGGACAAAGAUAGUGGUGAUCUUCUGUAUUAUGGGUGGCCUGAUAUUGGCAAUUUUGAGGAUAUCGACAGAAUGUUUAGAAGCUGCGAUUCCACAUUCGGACAGGGGAAUACUGGUCAUGAUGAUGAAUUUUCAUGUUUUUCUUCUUCCUCUCAUGCCAUUGAUGGUUCUGAAGAUGCCUUGAAAUCAGGCCUUAAAUCUCCUUCAUCAGAUUCAAAUGAGUUGAGAAGUAUAUCAAUACGUCAUGACCCUGAUGAUAAAUUUAUGGUUGACACUAUAACUCCUUUGAUCAAUGAUUCUGAGGAAAAUAGUGUCCUCAAUGACUAUAAGAUCGAUUCUCGGGCACUAGAUGCUGGUGAACCUGCUACUUUGGAUCAAUCAUCAUAUGUCAGUUGGUCUGAUGCAAAUGCUCAAAAUAGAGGGCAAUCUACGUCCAUUGAACAGAUCAAUUUGCAAAAUCAUCAGUUGAAGCACCACAAUCAAUCUGAAGGAAAGAGAAAAAAUCAAUCCUCAGAAUUCAAUGGUGAUGGUCCUUUCCAUGGCCCUGGUCCUUUUCAGCAAUUUGCAAACUUGAAGCUUCCCUCAUCCCUGCAUGUAUUUCCUUCUCUAGACAUUCCACAACAACAGCAGAAUUUAAGACCUAAUUUCUCCAAUUCGCACACACAAUUGCCUUGUGUGCGACCAAAGUACAAAAAACCUUCACAUCCAGUUCCUGUUACACCAACAUCCAGUAUCAAGACAGAAAACAAUGGUCGUCCGUCGGUUUCUUCGAAAGCUUCUUCUUUUGUGUUGAAUCAUGCUCAGCCCAUGGAAAAGUCUCCUGAUUCUUCACCCAAAGCUUCUGCUAUGAAAUCGGAGAAAAGAAUGAGAAAACCUUCUCAACAGAAGCAGCUACAUGCCAAACUAAAUUAUGAUCCCCAACAGGACGACAAAGGAGUGAGGGCUGCAUUUACAAAUCAAGUUACCAACCAAAAAUUCCCAGCUCAAAUUCGAGAUGAAGUUGGAGCUCAUAGAGAAUUUGAGGGAGCAGGCAUUGAACUUCCAACAGAGGAUUCUUCAACUGUGCAGCAAAGCUCUUGCAUGAGCUAUGCACUAUCAGAUGUAUCACUAGAAGAAACUAGUUUUGGGCAGCUUCAAUACAUCAUGGAACAGCUGGAUAUUAGGACGAAGCUGUGUAUAAGAGAUAGUCUCUACCGCUUGGCUAGGAGUGCUGAACAAAGACAUAAUAUUGGAAGUUUGAAUGGUUGCAGCAGAAACUAUAGUGUUGAAACUGGAGUAUUGAAGACCGAAGAAUCAAAUAAAUGCACACAAAUUGUGGAUAUGGAAACUGACACGAAUCCCAUAGAUCGGUCGAUAGCACAUUUACUUUUCCACAGGCCCUCAGAAGUUUCGGCCAUUAAUGAUGUUUUAUCCCAAGAGUCACAUGCUAUGCUUCAGGGGUCUAUUUCAAUUCAACCUGCGAUGACAGAGAAACUGGUUUCCUCCAAAGAAAUUGCUGGUGGUGCUGAAACAGAGUUGUGUACUGAUCAGUAGGGAGGAGAUUGUGAGCUUCAGCUGCAACUCAAAUCUACAGUUCCAUGUAUUUCGCAUUUCUGGGUGUUAUGUAUAAAUAGUUUCAUGAAGAGGAACCAGCAAACAUGUCAGAAACUCCUUGUCCUUGGCUAGAAAGAGGGCCACAACUAAAGUUAACGAGGACAGCCCAAGCUUUAUCAGUAGCAGCUGCCAUACUGCAGUCAAAUCAUUGGCAAAAACAAACGGAAAAGAAAAACCAUUUGAAUUUGUUAAUUGAACAAUUGUUUUGGAAGAAGGGAGAAAACCACUGCAUCAAGGAACUCUGCAAGGAAGUUUAGAAGUAUAUUUGAUAGAGUAAAUUGGAAUGAAUACUUUAGAUGGCAAUUAAUGCUAGUUUAGAUUAAGGGACCGUUUCUUCUUCUAAUAUGUACGGUAUCAAUUCAUCGGUUCUUCUUUUCUCUCCCUCCUUUUUUUUUUUAACUCCUUAAACAAGGGGUUUCCUUUUUGACUCCAUUUGGUUGCAAGUAAAGGGCAGAUAAAGGAAUUGAGAUUGAAAACAAUUAAAAGGAAACUUUUGUUAUCACUA
RNA transcript from Macadamia integrifolia, 2991 nucleotides. It is a transcript of the gene named protein LNK1-like, with no coding region annotated. The record is from RefSeq and is a predicted model, not a curated record. The transcript is spliced from 9 exons. Lineage: Eukaryota; Viridiplantae; Streptophyta; Magnoliopsida; Proteales; Proteaceae.